RNAcentral lists this ribosomal RNA (716 nucleotides) under uncultured Bacteroidota bacterium. Its description in RNAcentral is "bacterial SSU rRNA". It matches the Rfam family "Bacterial small subunit ribosomal RNA", at positions 73 to 787 of the family's 1533-position model. The record is from RNAcentral. Lineage: Bacteria; Pseudomonadati; Bacteroidota.
GGAGUGCUUGCACUCUGCUGACGACCGGCGCACGGGUGCGUAACGCGUAUACAAUCUGCCUUAUACUGGGGUAUAGCCUUUAGAAAUGAAGAUUAAUCCCCCAUAGUCUCUUAUUAUGGCAUCAUAAAAAGAGUAAAGGUUACGGUAUAAGAUGAGUAUGCGUUCUAUUAGUUUGUUGGUGAGGUAACGGCUCACCAAGACUACGAUAGAUAGGGGCCCUGAGAGGGGGAUCCCCCACACUGGUACUGAGACACGGACCAGACUCCUACGGGAGGCAGCAGUGAGGAAUAUUGGACAAUGGAGGCAACUCUGAUCCAGCCAUGCCGCGUGCAGGAAGACUGCCCUAUGGGUUGUAAACUGCUUUUAUAUAGGAAGAAACCUUGGUACGUGUACCAAGCUGACGGUACUAUAAGAAUAAGGAUCGGCUAACUCCGUGCCAGCAGCCGCGGUAAUACGGAGGAUCCAAGCGUUAUCCGGAAUCAUUGGGUUUAAAGGGUCCGUAGGUGGAUAAUUAAGUCAGAGGUGAAAUCUUGCAGCUCAACUGUAAAAUUGCCUUUGAUACUGGUUAUCUUGAGUUAUUAUGAAGUAGUUAGAAUAUGUAGUGUAGCGGUGAAAUGCAUAGAUAUUACAUAGAAUACCAAUUGCGAAGGCAGAUUACUAAUAAUCAACUGACACUGAUGGACGAAAGCGUGGGUAGCGAACAGGAUUAGAUACCC